RNAcentral lists this ribosomal RNA (433 nucleotides) under uncultured bacterium. RNAcentral describes it as "partial 16S ribosomal RNA". It matches the Rfam family "Bacterial small subunit ribosomal RNA", at positions 29 to 507 of the family's 1533-position model. The record is from RNAcentral.
AACGAACGCUGGCGGCAUGCCUAACACAUGCAAGUCGAACGAGACCUUCGGGUCUAGUGGCGCACGGGUGCGUAACGCGUGGGAACCUGCCCUUAGGUUCGGAAUAACUCCCCGAAAGGGGUGCUAAUAUCGGAUAAUGUCUUCGGACCAAAGAUUUAUCGCCUUUGGAUGGGCCCGCGUUGGAUUAGCUAGUUGGUAGGGUAAGAGCCUACCAAGGCGACGAUCCAUAGCUGGUCUGAGAGGAUGAUCAGCCACACUGGGACUGAGACACGGCCCAGACUCCUGCGGAAGGCAGCAGUGGGGAAUAUUGGACAAUGGGCUAGAGCAUGAUCGAGCAAUGCCGCGUGAGUGAUGAAGGCCUUAGGGUUGUAAAGCUCUUUUACACGGGAUGAUAAUGACAGUACCGGGAGAAUAAGCACCGGCUAACUCCGUG